This 1160-nucleotide ribosomal RNA is filed under the name uncultured organism. RNAcentral describes it as "bacterial SSU rRNA". It matches the Rfam family "Bacterial small subunit ribosomal RNA", at positions 45 to 1250 of the family's 1533-position model. The record is from RNAcentral.
UGCUUAACACAUGCAAGUCGAACGCAACCUUCGGGUUGAGUGGCGGACGGGUGAGUAACGCGUGAGAAUCUGCCUUGGGGUCGGGGACAACCACUGGAAACGGUGGCUAAUACCGGAUAAGCCUUUGGGUAAAAAAUUUAUUGCCCCAAGAGGAGCUCGCGUCUGAUUAGCUAGUUGGUGAGGUAAAAGCUCACCAAGGCAGCGAUCAGUAGCUGGUCUGAGAGGACGAUCAGCCACACUGGGACUGAGACACGGCCCAGACUCCUACGGGAGGCAGCAGUGGGGAAUUUUCCGCAAUGGGCGAAAGCCUGACGGAGCAAGACCGCGUGAGGGAGGAAGGCUCUUGGGUUGUAAACCUCUUUUCUCAGGGAAGAAGCUCUGACGGUACCUGAGGAAUCAGCCUCGGCUAACUCCGUGCCAGCAGCCGCGGUAAUACGGAGGAGGCAAGCGUUAUCCGGAAUUAUUGGGCGUAAAGCGUCCGCAGGUGGCGAUUCAAGUCUGCUGUCAAAGCACGGGGCUUAACUCCGUUAAGGCAGUGGAAACUGAAUAGCUAGAGUGCCGUAGGGGUAGAGGGAAUUCCCGGUGUAGCGGUGAAAUGCGUAGAGAUCGGGAAGAACCAUCGGUGGCGAAAGCGCUCUACUGGACGGCAACUGACACUCAGGGACGAAAGCUAGGGGAGCGAAUGGGAUUAGAUACCCCAGUAGUCCUAGCUGUAAACGAUGGAUACUAGGUGUAGCUUGUAUCGACCCGAGCUGUGCCGAAGCUAACGCGUUAAGUAUCCCGCCUGGGGAGUACGCACGCAAGUGUGAAACUCAAAGGAAUUGACGGGGGCCCGCACAAGCGGUGGAGUAUGUGGUUUAAUUCGAUGCAACGCGAAGAACCUUACCAGGGCUUGACAUGUCCGGAAUCCCGGUGAAAGCUGGGAGUGCCUUCGGGAGCCGGAACACAGGUGGUGCAUGCCUGUCGUCAGCUCGUGUCGUGAGAUGUUGGGUUAAGUCCCGCAACGAGCGCAACCCUCGUCUUUAGUUGCCAGCAUUAAGUUGGGCACUCUAGAGAGACUGCCGGUGACAAACCGGAGGAAGGUGGGGAUGACGUCAAGUCAGCAUGCCCCUUACGCUGUGGGCGACGCACGUACUACAAUGGUCGGGACAGAGGGCAGC